CCUUACGGCCAUACCAGCCUGGGUACGCCUGAUCUCGUCUGAUCUUGAAAGUUAAGCAGGGUCGGGCCUGGUUAGUACUUGGAUGGGAGACCGCCUGGGAAUACCAGGUGCUGUAAGCA
Molecule: ribosomal RNA, 119 nt
Filed under: Salmo salar (Atlantic salmon)
Lineage: Eukaryota; Metazoa; Chordata; Actinopteri; Salmoniformes; Salmonidae
Source: RNAcentral